RNAcentral lists this long non-coding RNA (1362 nucleotides) under Callithrix jacchus (white-tufted-ear marmoset). RNAcentral describes it as "lncRNA (ENSCJAG00000071533.1)". Lineage: Eukaryota; Metazoa; Chordata; Mammalia; Primates; Cebidae. The record is from RNAcentral.
GGUGGACAUGAGCUUCAGGGAGAUACUAUUCUCCAUGGUACGGUAGGUCUUGUAAUACAAGGUGGACAUGAGCUUCAGGGAGAUACUAUUCUCCAUGGUACGGUAGGUCUUGUAAUACAAGGUGGACAUGAGCUUCAGGGAGAUACUAUUCUCCAUGGUACGGUAGGUCUUGUAAUACAAGGUGGGCAUGAGCUUGAGGGAGAUACUAUUCUCCAUGGUACGGUAGGUCUUGUAAUACAAGGUGGGCAUGAGCUUGAGGGAGAUACUAUUCUCCAUGGUACGGUAGGUCUUGUAAUACAAGGUGGGCAUGAGCUUCAGGGAGAUACUAUUCUCCAUGGUACGGUAGGUCUUGUAAUACAAGGUGGGCAUGAGCUUGAGGGAGAUACUAUUCUCCAUGAUACGGUAGGUCUUGUAAUACAAGGUGGGCAUGAGCUUGAGGGAGAUACUAUUCUCCAUGGUACGGUAGGUCUUGUAGUACAAGGUGGGCAUGAGCUUGAGGGAGAUACUAUUCUCCAUGGUACGGUAGGUCUUGUAGUACAAGGUGGGCAUGAGCUUGAGGGAGAUACUAUUCUCCAUGGUACGGUAGGUCUUGUAGUACAAGUUGGACAUGAGCUUGAGGGAGAUACUAUUCUCCAUGGUACGGUAGGUCUUGUAAUACAAGGUGGGCAUGAGCUUCAGGGAGAUACUAUUCUCCAUGGUACGGUAGGUCUUGUAAUACAAGGUGGACAUGAGCUUGAGGGAGAUACUAUUCUCCAUGGUACGGUAGGUCUUGUAGUACAAGGUGGGCAUGAGCUUGAGGGAGAUACUAUUCUCCAUGGUACGGUAGGUCUUGUAGUACAAGGUGGACAUGAGCUUGAGGGAGAUACUAUUCUCCAUGGUACGGUAGGUCUUGUAAUACAAGGUGGACAUGAGCUUCAGGGAGAUACUAUUCUCCAUGGUACGGUAGGUCUUGUAAUACAAGGUGGACAUGAGCUUGAGGGAGAUACUAUUCUCCAUGGUACGGUAGGUCUUGUAAUACAAGGUGGACAUGAGCUUGAGGGAGAUACUAUUCUCCAUGGUACGGUAGGUCUUGUAAUACAAGGUGGACAUGAGCUUGAGGGAGAUACUAUUCUCCAUGGUACGGUAGUUCUUGUAAUACAAAACCUACUUUUGUCAUUUUGUUUUUCAUUGCUUCAUUAUAAUGUUGAUGGGGACAAAAAAAAAUCAAUUUCCAGCCAGGCCACUGUCCAUGAGGAGUUUGCAUGUUCUCCUCAGGUCUACAUGUCUAUAUGCUUUUCCCCUGGUUCUUCCAGGUUUGUCUUGCAUCCCAAAGCUGUGCCUCUUAGGUCCAUUGGUGUGUCUACAUGGUCCCAAUGUCAGUGA